This is a long non-coding RNA of Melitaea cinxia (Glanville fritillary), 918 nucleotides long. RefSeq lists it as uncharacterized. Lineage: Eukaryota; Metazoa; Arthropoda; Insecta; Lepidoptera; Nymphalidae. The transcript has 4 exons. The record is from RefSeq and is a predicted model, not a curated record.
AUAUUCUUUUGUUUAUUGUUAAAGUCUGUGUCACUAGUUAAUAUUAAUUUUCGUUUCAUUUCCAGCCGAACCUAAAUAUUCGAGACUGGCCUUAUGUCGUCGCCGGAUUGGCUUAAGUCUGGCAGUGGGAGGAGUUUACAUUGCAAGAGAAACUUUACAAUUGACACUGGUUGGAUACCAGCGUUAGAUAUGUGACGAUGAUUAGAUGCAGUAUAUACUGACUACUGGAAGGCUUUUGAUAAGAUAAGAAUAAAAAAAUUGUAAACUAUGAUUGAAUUGUCCAUGAGUUGUACAAGCCAGGGCUACUACGACUAAACCGAAUAAUAGCGACGGCCUUCGUUCCCAAGAUGGAGAAGUGGACAGAAAGAAACUUGGCAGUAUUAGCUUCUGUGAUAAGAUGGCAAUCAAAAGAUGAGCAUAACAAACUGACGAAGCAGGAAGCAAAUCAGCGUGUCAACUACCGCCUAACAAAGAACAAAUCGGUGUGGCCGACGUAUACGUGUUUCUUGUUUUGGAACUACGAAUUACGAUACACGCAAAUGCAAAUAGACCAUGAAUGUUAGUUUUGUAGUAGUUAAACCUGGAAAAAUAAUAAUUAGUCCAUUACAUUUGAUUGGCUAUCGAAUUACGAGUAGGAUCAUUGUGGCAACAGUGGAACACACUUUUUUUUAAAAUCAACAUAGCUUCGUAACUACACUAGCUACAGACGUUAAAUUAUAAUGAAGGAAAGAUAGAUUUCUUGGCUCCAUUUUGGUCAAACAGUUUUUUAAAUACAUAUUUUGGUUUUUUAUUGAUAAAAAAGUAAAAAAAAAAAAAAGGUUCUGACUUACUGUGUCCUUAGAUGAAUACACAGUGGGUCAACUCUGAGUGCACAGUGGAUCAAAAGUAUACUGGAUUAUAAAAAGAUUUUUAUUUUAA